GAUGAACGCUGGCGGCGUGCCUAAUACAUGCAAGUCGAACGAAACUUCUUUAUCGCCGCGUGCUUGCACUCACCGAUAAAGAGUUGAGUGGCGAACGGGUGAGUAACACGUGGGCAACCUGCCCAAAAGAGGGGGAUAACACUUGGAAACAGGUGCUAAUACCGCAUAACCAUAGUUACCGCAUGGUAACUAUGUAAAAGGUGGCUAUACUACCGCUUUUGGAUGGGCCCGCGGCGCAUUAGCUAGUUGGUAGGGUAAAGGCUUACCAAGGCAAUGAUGCGUAGCCGAAUUGAGAGGUUGAUCGGCCACAUUGGGACUGAGACACGGCCCAAACUCCUACGGGAGGCAGCAGUAGGGAAUCUUCCACAAUGGGCGAAAGCCUGAUGGAGCAACGCCGCGUGGGUGAAGAAGGUCUUCGGAUCGUAAAACCCUGUUGUUAGAGAAGAAAGUGCGUGAGAGUAACUGUUCACGUUUCGACGGUAUCUAACCGGAAAGCCACGGCUAACUACGUG
Molecule: ribosomal RNA, 512 nt
Filed under: uncultured bacterium
Lineage: Bacteria
Description: partial 16S ribosomal RNA
Rfam family: Bacterial small subunit ribosomal RNA
Source: RNAcentral